AACAGGAUUAGAUACCCUGGUAGUCCACGCCGUAAACGAUGUCGACUUGGAGGUUGUGCCCUUGAGGCGUGGCUUCCGGAGCUAACGCGUUAAGUCGACCGCCUGGGGAGUACGGCCGCAAGGUUAAAACUCAAAUGAAUUGACGGGGGCCCGCACAAGCGGUGGAGCAUGUGGUUUAAUUCGAUGCAACGCGAAGAACCUUACCUGGUCUUGACAUCCACGGAAGUUUUCAGAGAUGAGAAUGUGCCUUCGGGAACCGUGAGACAGGUGCUGCAUGGCUGUCGUCAGCUCGUGUUGUGAAAUGUUGGGUUAAGUCCCGCGACGAGCGCAACCCUUAUCCUUUGUUGCCAGCGGUCCGGCCGGGAACUCAAAGGAGACUGCCAGUGAUAAACUGGAGGAAGGUGGGGAUGACGUCAAGUCAUCAUGGCCCUUACGACCAGGGCUACACACGUGCUACAAUGGCGCAUACAAAGAGAAGCGACCUCGCGAGAGCAAGCGGACCUCAUAAAGUGCGUCGUAGUCCGGAUUGGAGUCUGCAACUCGACUCCAUGAAGUCGGAAUCGCUAGUAAUCGUGGAUCAGAAUGCCACGGUGAAUACGUUCCCGGGCCUUGUACACACCGCCCGUCACACCAUGGGAGUGGGUUGCAAAAGAAGUAGGUAGCUUAACCUUCGGGAGGGCGCUUACCACUUUGUGAUUCAUGACUGGGGUGAAGUCGUAACAAGGUAACC
RNAcentral lists this ribosomal RNA (730 nucleotides) under uncultured bacterium. RNAcentral's name for it is "bacterial SSU rRNA". It matches the Rfam family "Bacterial small subunit ribosomal RNA", at positions 771 to 1501 of the family's 1533-position model. The record is from RNAcentral.